RNAcentral lists this ribosomal RNA (241 nucleotides) under uncultured bacterium. Its description in RNAcentral is "partial 16S ribosomal RNA". It matches the Rfam family "Bacterial small subunit ribosomal RNA", at positions 92 to 334 of the family's 1533-position model. The record is from RNAcentral.
AGAGUGGCGGACGGGUGAGUAACGCGUAGGAAUCUGCCCAGUAGUGGGGGACAACUCGGGGAAACCCGAGCUAAUACCGCAUACGCCCUACGGGGGAAAGGGGGCCUCUUCUUGAAAGCUCUCGCUACUGGAUGAGCCUGCGUCGGAUUAGCUAGUUGGUGGGGUAAAGGCCCACCAAGGCGACGAUCCGUAGCUGGUCUGAGAGGACGACCAGCCACACUGGGACUGAGACACGGCCCAG